Molecule: ribosomal RNA, 467 nt
Filed under: uncultured bacterium
Lineage: Bacteria
Description: partial 16S ribosomal RNA
Rfam family: Bacterial small subunit ribosomal RNA
Source: RNAcentral
GAUGAACGCUGACAGAAUGCUUAACACAUGCAAGUCAACUUGAAUUUGGGUUUUUAACUUAGGUUUGGGUGGCGGACGGGUGAGUAACGCGUAAAGAACUUGCCUCACAGCUAGGGACAACAUUUGGAAACGAAUGCUAAUACCUAAUAUUAUGAUAAUAGGGCAUCCUAUAAUUAUGAAAGCUAUAAGCGCUGUGAGAGAGCUUUGCGUCCCAUUAGCUAGUUGGAGAGGUAACGGCUCACCAAGGCGAUGAUGGGUAGCCGGCCUGAGAGGGUGAUCGGACACAAGGGGACUGAGACACGGCCCUAACUGCUACGGGAGGCAGCAGUGAGGAAUAUGGGACAAUAGACCGAGAGACUGGUCCAGCAAUUCUGUGUGCACGAUGAAGUUUUUCGGAAUGUAAAGUGCUUUCAGUUAGGAAGAAACAAAUGACGGUACCAACAGAAGAAGUGACGGCUAAAUACGUG